AGAGCAAUUCGUGAAUGCCUUGGUAGGAAGAAGCGAUGAAGGACGUAGUACGCUGCGAUAAGCCGCGGGGAGGGGCGAACACCCUUUGAUCCGUGGAUUUCCGAAUGGGGAAACCCACUCAUUUUGAGUAUCUUAAUUUGAAUACAUAGAAUUAAGAAGCGAACCUUGGGAACUGAAACAUCUAAGUACCAAGAGGAAAGGACAUCAACCGAGACUCCGUAAGUAGUGGCGAGCGAAAGCGGACCAGGCCAGUGGAUUAAAUUAAAGAACCCGAAGGGGAUGGAAAGCCCCACCAAAGAAGGUGAGAGUCCUGUAGGGGUAGAAAAUGUUUAAUUCCUUGAGUAAGACGGGACACGUGAAAUCCUGUUUGAAGAUGGGGGGACCACCCUCCAAGCCUAAGUAUUCCUUCCUAACCGAUAGUGAACUAGUACCGUGAGGGAAAGGUGAAAAGAACCCCGAGAAGGGGAGUGAAAUAGAUCUGAAACGGAUUGCUUACAAGCCGUUGGAGCCUGAUAUCUAAUUUAGAUAGGCGGGUGACAGCGUACCUCUUGUAUAAUGGGUCAGCGAGUUUAUGUUCGUAGCAAGCUUAAGCCGUUAGGUGAAGGCGCAGCGAAAGCGAGUCUUAAUAGGGCGACAAGUUACGGGCAUAAGACCCGAAACCGAGUGAUCUAGUCAUGGGCAGGUUGAAGGUGCGGUAACACGUACUGGAGGACCGAACCCACUUCUGUUGCAAAAGAAGGGGAUGACCUGUGAUUAGGGGUGAAAGGCUAAUCAAACUCGGAAAUAGCUGGUUCUCCGCGAAAUCUAUUGAGGUAGAGCGUCAAGUGAUUACCUUUGGGGGUAGAGCACUGGAUAGGCUAGGGGGAAGCGAUUCCUACCAAACCUAACCAAACUCCAAAUACCAAAGAGUACAACUUGGCAGCCACACGGUGGGAGCUAAGUUCCACGCGUGAAAAGGGAAACAGCCCUAAUCGUCCGCUAAGGUCCCCAACUGAUGGCUCAGUGGGAAAGGAAGUGAAGAGGCCAAGACAGCGAGGAGGUUGGCUUAGAAGCAGCCAUCCUUUAAAGAAAGCGUAAUAGCUCACUCGUCUAGACAAGCCACUUUGCGCCGAAAAUGUAACGGGGCUUAAGCCAUCGACCGAAGCGACGAACUUUAAAGUCUUGCGAGAUUUUGAAGUGGUAGCGGAGCGUUCCCUAAACCUGUGAAGAGAUACCCGUGAGGGGUCUUGGAGGUAUGGGAAGUGAGAAUGCUGACAUAAGUAACGUAAAAUGCUGUGAAAGACAGCAUCGCCGAAAGUCCAAGGGUUCCUACGCAAUGUAAGUCAUCGUAGGGUUAGUCGGCCCCUAAGGCGAGGACGAAAGUCGUAGUCGAUGGGAACCGCAGUUAAUAUUCUGUGACCUGUGGGUGAGUGACGAAGAGAAAAGUUUGUUAAGAUCGAUUGGAUGAUACUUAGCAGAUGAACUCUUCCAGGAAAUAGCCCCCACGUAUAGACCGUACCCGAAACCGACACUGGUGGACGCGUCGAAAAGACGAAGGCGUUGAGAGAAUCAUGUUGAAGGAACUCGGCAAAUUGUCCCUGUAACUUCGGAAGAAAGGGAACCUUUUUUAAGGCAACUUUUAAAAGGUGGCACAAAAUUGAGGGUAGCGACUGUUUAACAAAAACACAGGACUCUGCAAAGUCGAAAGACGACGUAUAGGGUCUGACGCCUGCCCGGUGCUGGAAGGUUAAGAAGAGGUGUGCAAGCACUGAAUUGAAGCCCCAGUAAACGGCGGCCGUAACUAUAACGGUCCUAAGGUAGCGAAAUUCCUUGUCGGGUAAGUUCCGACCUGCACGAAUGGCGUAACGACUGCCCUACUGUCUCCAACAUGAACUCAGUGAAAUUGGAUUCUCCGUGAAGAUACGGAGUACCCGCGGUUAGACGGAAAGACCCCGUGCACCUUUACUAUAGCUUUGCAGUGGUCUUAAGACGAUUUUGUGUAGGAUAGGUGGGAGCCUAUGAAGAGAGAGCGCCAGCUUUCUUGGAGGCAACCUUGAAAUACCACCCUGAAUCGUUUUGAGAUCUAACAACGACCCGUGAUCCGGGUCUUGGACCCUGCAUGGUGGGUAGUUUGACUGGGGCGGUCGCCUCCGAAAGAGUAACGGAGGCGCGCAAAGGUAAGCUCAAGUUGGUCGGAAACCAACUGUUGAGUGCAAGAGCAAAAGCUUGCCUGACUGCAAGACCUACAAGUCAAGCAGAGACGAAAGUCGGUUCUAGUGAUCCGGUGGUUCCUUGUGGAAGGGCCAUCGCUCAACGGAUAAAAGGUACGCCGGGGAUAACAGGCUGAUCUCCCCCGAGAGUCCCCAUCGACGGGGAGGUUUGGCACCUCGAUGUCGGCUCAUCACAUCCUGGGGCUGUAGCCGGUCCCAA
Molecule: ribosomal RNA, 2409 nt
Filed under: freshwater metagenome
Description: bacterial LSU rRNA
Rfam family: Bacterial large subunit ribosomal RNA
Source: RNAcentral